Molecule: long non-coding RNA, 225 nt
Filed under: Gossypium barbadense (sea-island cotton)
Lineage: Eukaryota; Viridiplantae; Streptophyta; Magnoliopsida; Malvales; Malvaceae
Description: long non-coding RNA (GBAR_LNC017852)
Source: RNAcentral
UCUUCUCCUUUCCUUUUCUUUCCUUAUUUUUCUUUCUUUCCUCCCCUUUCCUUUUCCUUCUUUUUCUUUCUUCCUUUCUUUCUUCUUCUUCCCCUCUCCUUCUUCCCCCCACCAACCGACCACCCUUAAAUUCAAGGGUGGUGCCGCCAACCUGCUUCCCUUGUUUGGUGCCGCCAACCUGCUUCCCUCCACCCAAGGAGUUGUCAAAUCAGUUCAGGUUUUUUU